GGAAUGGCUGAGGAAAUAGACGUUUGCACAUCAGUCACUACAAAACACCACUUGAAGGCUCGACGAAAGGAUAGAUGAAGGUGAUCAGAAACCUCCCUGCUCUUCUGAGAAUCGGCGGGGUAGUGUCCGACUUUACCGACUAAAACCUUACGGUGGACCGCUUGACGCUCAUCAGGAAUGCCCCGGGACUUCUUUCGCAGUACUACCGGAGCUAGGAAGGAAAUUUUUUUCUUUUUUCUGUCGAGUGUUUGUUUACGAAAAUACUGCUUUCUUAGAACUACAAAUUAAUUAUUAUUUAUAUACCAUAGGUAGAAUCAUAUAUCAGGAGCACGAAGAUAUACGUAUAAAUAUUAUACUAAGAAUGCGAAAGAAAAUUGUCAAAUAUAUAUAUAUAUGAAUAUUUCAUAAUACGAUUGAUUUGUAAAAGUUAUCCGCCAAAUUGAAUGUCCGCUAUUACAACUUCAAAUAUUUUAUGCAUUACGUGACUUCGUUCUAAUGCAACAUGGCGCACUUUUCUGACCGUUAAACAAAGCUGCGCAAUACGAAAAAUACGCGAUGUGCAGAAACUGUUCAAACUUGUCUGUGACAACGUACUUUCUCGAAUGUAAUAAAAGUUAUUGAGAAAGACGACAUUACAGACAAUUUACGAAUAACGAAGCAAAAUGAAAAAGUUAUUUGAAUUUCUUACUCAAAUGAAACAGAAUCGAGAGAAUCUAUGUUAAAUUUAUGUUAAACAAUCUAUUCAACUUCUUCGAAAAUAUAAUUUAAUAUAUUCGAAAGCAAAAAAUAAUUUCUUUAAUCUUGAAUUUUUCAUCUUGGUGUUCUUAAUAAACCGUGAAUUUAGCAUUUGUUAUAUUAGAUAUUAA
Molecule: unclassified non-coding RNA, 866 nt
Filed under: Bombus terrestris (buff-tailed bumblebee)
Lineage: Eukaryota; Metazoa; Arthropoda; Insecta; Hymenoptera; Apidae
Description: misc RNA ENSBTSG00005025197.1
Source: RNAcentral